UGCAGUCGAGCGACGCUCUCCCUUCGGGGAGAUGACGGAGCGGCGAACGGGUGAGUAACACGUGGGCAACCUGCCCCUAGCUCUGGGACAACUCCUCGAAAGAGGGGCUAAUACCGGAUACGACCUCGGAAGACAUCUUCUGCGGUGGAAAGUUUUUCGGCUAGGGAUGGGCCCGCGGCCUAUCAGCUUGUUGGUGAGGUAACGGCCCACCAAGGCGACGACGGGUAGCCGGCCUGAGAGGGCGACCGGCCACACUGGGACUGAGACACGGCCCAGACUCCUACGGGAGGCAGCAGUGGGGAAUAUUGCGCAAUGGGCGAAAGCCUGACGCAGCGACGCCGCGUGAGGGAUGAAGGCCUUCGGGUUGUAAACCUCUUUCAGCAGGGACGAAAACAGACGGUACCUGCAGAAGAAGCACCGGCCAACUACGUGCCAGCAGCCGCGGUAAUACGUAGGGUGCAAGCGUUGUCCGGAAUUAUUGGGCGUAAAGAGCUCGUAGGCGGUUUGUCGCGUCGGCUGUGAAAACUCGGGGCUCAACCCCGAGCCUGCAGUCGAUACGGGCAGACUAGAGUGCUGUAGGG
RNAcentral lists this ribosomal RNA (581 nucleotides) under uncultured bacterium. RNAcentral's name for it is "bacterial SSU rRNA". It matches the Rfam family "Bacterial small subunit ribosomal RNA", at positions 56 to 656 of the family's 1533-position model. The record is from RNAcentral.